RNAcentral lists this ribosomal RNA (504 nucleotides) under uncultured bacterium. Its description in RNAcentral is "bacterial SSU rRNA". It matches the Rfam family "Bacterial small subunit ribosomal RNA", at positions 107 to 607 of the family's 1533-position model. The record is from RNAcentral.
UGAGUAAUGCCUAGGAAUCUGCCUGGUAGUGGGGGACAACGUUUCGAAAGGAACGCUAAUACCGCAUACGUCCUACGGGAGAAAGCAGGGGACCUUCGGGCCUUGCGCUAUCAGAUGAGCCUAGGUCGGAUUAGCUAGUUGGUGAGGUAAUGGCUCACCAAGGCGACGAUCCGUAACUGGUCUGAGAGGAUGAUCAGUCACACUGGAACUGAGACACGGUCCAGACUCCUACGGGAGGCAGCAGUGGGGAAUAUUGGACAAUGGGCGAAAGCCUGAUCCAGCCAUGCCGCGUGUGUGAAGAAGGUCUUCGGAUUGUAAAGCACUUUAAGUUGGGAGGAAGGGCAGUAAGUUAAUACCUUGCUGUUUUGACGUUACCGACAGAAUAAGCACCGGCUAACUCUGUGCCAGCAGCCGCGGUAAUACAGAGGGUGCAAGCGUUAAUCGGAAUUACUGGGCGUAAAGCGCGCGUAGGUGGUUUGUUAAGUUGGAUGUGAAAGCCCCGGG